AUUGAACGCUGGCGGCAUGCCUAACACAUGCAAGUCGAACGGUAACAGGUUUUCGGAUGCUGACGAGUGGCGAACGGGUGCGUAAUACAGCGGAACGUGCCCAGACCUGGGGGAUAACGGGGCGAAAGCUAUGCUAAUACCGCAUACGAUCUAAUGCGGACAACAGGGGACCGCAAGGCAUUUUUCGUUUUUGCGGGCCGAUGGCAGAUUAUGUCGUUGGUGGGAUAAAAGCUGACCAAGCCGCCGAUCUGUAGCUGGUCUGAGAGGACGUCCAGCCACACUGGGACUGAGACACGGCCCAGACUCCUACGGGAGGCAGCAGUGGGGAAUUUUGGACAAUGGGCGCAAGCCUGAUCCAGCCAUGCCGCGUGCAGGAUGAAGGCCUUCGGGUUGUAAACUGCUUUUGUUCGGAAAGAAAAGGCUCUGGCUAAUACCUGGGGGACAUGACGGUACCGUAAGAAUAAGCACCGGCUAACUACGUG
This 482-nucleotide ribosomal RNA is filed under the name uncultured bacterium. RNAcentral's name for it is "partial 16S ribosomal RNA". It matches the Rfam family "Bacterial small subunit ribosomal RNA", at positions 30 to 507 of the family's 1533-position model. The record is from RNAcentral.